GUGGUUGCUCACUCUCCCUCAAGGGCUUCCGACUCAGCCAUUAUUAAUGCGGGAUUGUGCAACGAGAGUUUGAUUGGCAUAAGUUGGAAGCUCUUGUUUGGGUGGGGUGGGGGGGGAUUGAACAGCCUCU
Molecule: microRNA precursor, 130 nt
Filed under: Asparagus officinalis (garden asparagus)
Lineage: Eukaryota; Viridiplantae; Streptophyta; Magnoliopsida; Asparagales; Asparagaceae
Description: miR477a stem-loop (aof-MIR477a)
Gene: aof-MIR477a
Source: miRBase by way of RNAcentral